Molecule: ribosomal RNA, 246 nt
Filed under: uncultured bacterium
Lineage: Bacteria
Description: partial 16S ribosomal RNA
Rfam family: Bacterial small subunit ribosomal RNA
Source: RNAcentral
GUAUGGGGCAAGCGUUAUCCGGAUUUACUGGGUGUAAAGGGAGCGCAGGCGGCCUGCCAAGUCUGGUGUGAAAACCCGGGGCCCAACCCCGGGCCUGCAUUGGAAACUGGCGGGCUGGAGUGUCGGAGGGGCAGGCGGAAUUCCUAGUGUAGCGGUGAAAUGCGUAGAUAUUAGGAGGAACACCGGUGGCGAAGGCGGUCUGCUGGACGAUGACUGACGCUGAGGCUCGAAAGCGUGGGGAGCAAA